This 468-nucleotide ribosomal RNA is filed under the name uncultured bacterium. RNAcentral's name for it is "partial 16S ribosomal RNA". It matches the Rfam family "Bacterial small subunit ribosomal RNA", at positions 28 to 507 of the family's 1533-position model. The record is from RNAcentral.
GACGAACGCUGGCGGCGUGCUUAACACAUGCAAGUCGAACGGAAAGGCCCUGCUUUUGUGGGGUGCUCGAUUGGCGAACGGGUGAGUAACACGUGAGUAACCUGCCCCUGACUUUGGGAUAACUUCAGGAAACUGGGGCUAAUACCGGAUAGGAGCUCCUGCUGCAUGGGGGGGGUUGGAAAGUUUCGGCGGUGGGGGAUGGACUCGCGGCUUAUCCGCUUGUUGGUGGGGUAGUUGCUUACCAAGCCUGUGACGGGUAGCCGGCCUGAGAGGGGGACCGGCCACAUGGGGACUGAGGGACGGACCAGACGCCUACGGGAGGCAGCAGUGGGGAAUAUUGCAGAAUGGGCGGAAGCCUGAUGCAGCAACGCCGCGUGCGGGAUGACGGCCUUCGGGUUGUAAACCGAUUUCGCAUGUGACGAAGAGGGAGUGACGGUAAUGGGUAAAGAAGCAACGGCUAACUACGUG